RNAcentral lists this unclassified non-coding RNA (1100 nucleotides) under Homalodisca vitripennis (glassy-winged sharpshooter). RNAcentral's name for it is "e3 ubiquitin-protein ligase CCNB1IP1-like, transcript variant X3". The record is from RNAcentral. Lineage: Eukaryota; Metazoa; Arthropoda; Insecta; Hemiptera; Cicadellidae.
UUGUGUUGGCUACACUGUUAUACAUCUUGUCAAUUCUUAGUUCCCGUUUCCUUCUGAUAACAAACUAUGUUUACGUAAUUUUCAAGUCGGUUCAAAUACAAAUCAAAACACAUUUUGUACAUAUAUAAUAGUUUGCGCAGUAGUUUGAGCAAUGGAUGGGUAUUUAACGUGCAAUUUCAAGAGAUGUAAUAGGCCACUGUCAACAUCAGCAUGGAUAGCAAGUUGUUUUCAUAUCUUCUGUGAUGAACACUCACCCGCUUUAGAGACAAACAAAAGAUGCCCACUGUGUUUUUCUGAUCUUGGAGGUGAACAUGAUUUAAUUAAGAAACAUUUAAACCCCCUGAAGAGUAUAAAGCAAUGGUAUUGGCUGGGUUCAAUCCAAAGAAUAUUUUAGAAAUCGGCUCAAGAGCAAUAAGCUUUUGGAAAUUCCAGAAGUUCCAAGAGAGAAUGAUUCUGGGAUCAACCGUGAGGAACUUGGAAGGCCGACUGGCGCAGUCAGAGACAUCAUAUGAAGCCAUAAUUAAGCAACUCAAGGUUUACAUCCAGAAAGAGACCCAAAGGACUGAGAGGCUGCAAAAAGAGAUGGAAUUGUACAGCAGAAGAAUACAAGAUCUUGAGGAAAAAAAUAAAAACAAAAAUAAGCAAAUUUUUAAUCUUCAUGUACAAGUUGAAGAGCUGCGUAAACAACAUAAUUUACAAGGUGUAUUGGACAAUAGCGUCCGUGUUAACAAUGUAGAACGCAACUGUCGGCCUACUGAAGGCAGGGUUGCGAGAUCUCCUAACUUCCUAGACCGCAGGGGCAACCAUGAACAUGUGGAUCAAAUGUUCUGUUCUCAGCAGUUUCCAACUGCUCCUAGGCCUGUACUCACUUUCCAUCCUUCUGGCCAGCUUGUGUUCAAAUCUCCCAACUGUUAGAAAAUACUGAUAAUCUUAUAUAAAUGUUGUAAUCUUUGUGUAUAUCCUUGUUAAAAGAUUUAAACAUUCUCAUUCAAAUGUACUAUAGUUAUUAAAAUUUAUUACAUACAGGUAUUAGUACUGUACUAGAUUCAAUACUGUAAGGUAUUUUGUUAAGCUUUCAAUAAACUAAUGCUACAACUGAA